UAACAUUAAAACUUAAGAUCAUGCAAAACAAAAAGGGAUUAACCAACACUAGGCAAAGCACAAUUCUAUACAUCUCAUGCUACAACACAUGGCAUAUCUAUACUUUUCUUACUUGGCUCUAUCUCUUUAUAACAUUACUCUUUCUAUUCUUUCAUAUCCCUUAUAUACAUAAGGACCAUACAUCAAGUCCAUCUAUCAUCAUCAUCAUCAUCAUCAUCAUCAUCAUCAUCAUCAUCAUCAUCAUCAUCAUCAUCAUCAUCAUCAUCAUCAUCAUCAUCAUCAUCAUCAUCAUCAUCAUCAN
This 301-nucleotide long non-coding RNA is filed under the name Manihot esculenta (cassava). RNAcentral describes it as "long non-coding RNA (MESC_LNC001849)". The record is from RNAcentral. Lineage: Eukaryota; Viridiplantae; Streptophyta; Magnoliopsida; Malpighiales; Euphorbiaceae.